Long non-coding RNA from Oncorhynchus keta (chum salmon), 1810 nucleotides. RefSeq lists it as uncharacterized. NCBI's taxonomy places the organism in Eukaryota, Metazoa, Chordata, Actinopteri, Salmoniformes, Salmonidae. The record is from RefSeq and is a predicted model, not a curated record. The transcript has 4 exons.
AGCUUAUUCACCAGUAACAACAUGCUGAUUUAACCACGCGGUAGCUUGCUAGUUAACAUAAAACCGAAACAUUGAAGCUUUUUAGACCAAUCUUGUGUAUAUUACUCUUUUUGUUUAGAACAAAAAUGUGUUUACGUUUUUACUACUAAUAAUAAUAAUAAUUUUAAACGUAAUUAGCUUGUUAAAUUUGCAAAUGUGUUAAAUUGAUACUGCCCUAAGCUAAUCGUCCGGAUCAUGAGGUCACUAACCUCGACGGAGAAAGAAGCUGUGAUGAAAGGAGAGGAAGAAUCUUUCAGAAUGAAAAAGGAGGAAGAGGAUGAUAUUACAGUGAAAGAGGUUGUCAAAAAGGAGGAUGCCAUAACAUCGGAAGAACAUUUUAGAGUAAAAGAGGAAGAGGAUGCUAUCUCAAUAAAAGAGAAGAAGGAAGACGUUUUGGGAGUGAAAAAGGAGGAGACUGAAUAUCAGAUUAAGACCAGAGAGAGACAUGACUAUUAUGGGGAGCCUCAACAACAGAAGAGUCUCUCCAGAUCAGAACACCAGAUGGACAACGCUAGCCCUUCCUCCCUCCCAGAGUCGUGCUCCCGGUAACAACUUACUGCUGGGUAUGAAGAGGUUGUCUGUGCUGCUGGUGGACUGCAGGAAAACAACGGGCUGAGUGGAACUGUGAGAGGAGAAGAAGAGAAGAAAGGAUCAGAUUUGACUCAACAAACAGGAAAACCAAACUUGGAGAAACCAGAAACGUCCAAACCAGCAAGACAACACCUCUGCUCCCACUGUGGAAAGAGUUUUAACCAGUUCGUUAGCAUGAGAAGACAUGAGAGAAUACACACAGGGGAGAAGCCACACCAUUGCACACAGUGUGGAAAGAGUUUUAACCAGUUAGGAAACAUGAAAUCUCACGAACGAAUACACACAGGGGAGAAGCCUUUCCAUUGCUCCCAGUGUGGAAAGAGUUUUGGAGAGUCAGGAAACCUGAAUGCCCACGAGCGAAUGCACACAGGGGAGAAGCCUUACCACUGCUCCCACUGCGGAAAGCGUUUUAACCAUUCAGGAAAGCUGAAAGAACACAUGAGACUGCACACAGAGGAGAACCCUUACAAAUGCUCAGACUGUGGGAAGACAUAUUACUCAUCAUGGUCACUUAAACGUCAUGUGAGAAUCCACAUGGGAGAAUAAUUACUUCUCUUAGCGUGUAGGUUUUUCACAUCACGUUGACUUAAAAUUCAUCAGAGAACAUACACAGUGCUCCCGUUGUCUUAUAUUGUUGACUGACAAUGUGUUUACCUGUCUUUACCAGAUGAAAUUAAAUGGUACAGGGUAUACUCAAACAUAUAUUUGUGUGUUUUUAUUAGAAAACAUGAAUUGAGUAUGUAAGUUUGAAUAUAGAGUAGUAUAUUAUUUUUUAAACUCUGACUGUGUGUGUUUAUCUGGGUGUGUCAUUCCUCCAGCACUACAGAUAAUCAAGUGAUAUUUGGAUGUGAUGCAUUUGUUCCAUUGUUGACAUUUGCAUUGUAGCCCACUGAUGAUUUAAUGAAAUGAAAAUGUUCAGACUCUGUAAUGGAAAAUGUUAGUUGUUUGUGUGUCCACAUAACUGAGUAUGUGACUAACCUUGUGAAACUGUCCUAUUAUAAGCUCCUGUUCUUGGGACUAUCAUCCUGUGUUGCAAACCAAUUUGCACCUGUGUCCUUGUAUGAAUAAAGUCCCUCCCAGGAACAGGAAACUAUAAAGAUAUGUGCUCAUCACCCGUCUCCACUGCGCUGUGUAACUCUGUUAUUCUCUCUGAGCUCAGAAAUAAAGAAUCUUGGUUUGA